UGGGGAAUCUUAGACAAUGGGGGAAACCCUGAUCUAGCCAUGCCGCGUGAGCGAUGAAGGCCUUAGGGUUGUAAAGCUCUUUCAGCUGGGAAGAUAAUGACGGUACCAGCAGAAGAAGCCCCGGCUAACUCCGUGCCAGCAGCCGCGGUAAUACGGAGGGGGCUAGCGUUGUUCGGAAUUACUGGGCGUAAAGCGCACGUAGGCGGAUUAGUCAGUCAGAGGUGAAAUCCCAGGGCUCAACCCUGGAACUGCCUUUGAUACUGCUAGUCUUGAGGUCGAGAGAGGUGAGUGGAAUUCCGAGUGUAGAGGUGAAAUUCGUAGAUAUUCGGAGGAACACCAGUGGCGAAGGCGGCUCACUGGCUCGAUACUGACGCUGAGGUGCGAAAGCGUGGGGAGCAAACAGGAUUAGAUACCCAGGUAGUCCACGCCGUAAACGAUGAAUGCCAGUCGUCGGGUUGCAUGCAAUUCGGUGACACACCUAACGGAUUAAGCAUUCCGCCUGGGGAGUACGGUCGCAAGAUUAAAACUCAAAUGAAUUGACGGGGUCAUAGCUGUUUCCUG
This 561-nucleotide ribosomal RNA is filed under the name uncultured bacterium. Its description in RNAcentral is "partial 16S ribosomal RNA". It matches the Rfam family "Bacterial small subunit ribosomal RNA", at positions 355 to 1376 of the family's 1533-position model. The record is from RNAcentral.